Molecule: ribosomal RNA, 117 nt
Filed under: Escherichia coli
Lineage: Bacteria; Pseudomonadati; Pseudomonadota; Gammaproteobacteria; Enterobacterales; Enterobacteriaceae
Source: RNAcentral
CUUAGCGCGCCUUAGCGCGGUGGUCCCACCUGACCCCAUGCCGAACUCAGAAGUGAAACGCCGUAGCGCCGAUGGUAGUGUGGGGUCUCCCCAUGCGAGAGUAGGGAACUGCCAGGC